Molecule: ribosomal RNA, 699 nt
Filed under: uncultured bacterium
Lineage: Bacteria
Description: bacterial SSU rRNA
Rfam family: Bacterial small subunit ribosomal RNA
Source: RNAcentral
CCUACCAUCAACAGGGGGAUAACACUGAGAAAUUGGUACUAAUACCCCAUAAUAUCUCAUGCGGCAUCGCAUGGGGUUGAAAACUCCGGUGGUUGAUGAUGGGCAUGCGUUGUAUUAGCUGGUUGGUGAGGUAACGGCUCACCAAGGCGACGAUACAUAGGGGGACUGAGAGGUUAACCCCCCACAUUGGUACUGAGACACGGACCAAACUCCUACGGGAGGCAGCAGUGAGGAAUAUUGGUCAAUGGACGCAAGUCUGAACCAGCCAUGCCGCGUGCAGGAUGACGGCUCUAUGAGUUGUAAACUGCUUUUGUACGAGGGUAAACCCCGAUACGUGUAUCGGGUUGAAAGUAUCGUACGAAUAAGGAUCGGCUAACUCCGUGCCAGCAGCCGCGGUAAUACGGAGGAUCCGAGCGUUAUCCGGAUUUAUUGGGUUUAAAGGGUGCGUAGGCGGUUUGAUAAGUUAGAGGUGAAAUGUCGGGGCUCAACCCCGAAACUGCCUCUAAUACUGUUGGACUAGAGAAUAGUUGCGGUAGGCGGAAUGUAUGGUGUAGCGGUGAAAUGCUUAGAGAUCAUACAGAACACCGAUUGCGAAGGCAGCUUACCAAACUAUAUCUGACGUUGAGGCACGAAAGCGUGGGUAGCAAACAGGAUUAGAUACCCUGGUAGUCCACGCAGUAAACGAUGAUAACUCGUUGU